AACCUAGCACACCUGCGGUGUGUACCUGCGGAGGGAUCAUUACCUAGAGUUGUAGGCUUUGCCUGCUAUCUCUUACCCAUGUCUUUUGAGUACCUUACGUUUCCUCGGCGGGUUCGCCCGCCGGUUGGACAAAACUUAAACCCUUUGUAGUUGCAAUCAGCGUCUGAAAAAACUUAAUAGUUACAACUUUUAACAACGGAUCU
RNAcentral lists this unclassified non-coding RNA (203 nucleotides) under soil metagenome. Its description in RNAcentral is "partial contains 5.8S ribosomal RNA, internal transcribed spacer 2, and large subunit ribosomal RNA". The record is from RNAcentral.